Molecule: unclassified non-coding RNA, 382 nt
Filed under: Hevea brasiliensis (rubber tree)
Lineage: Eukaryota; Viridiplantae; Streptophyta; Magnoliopsida; Malpighiales; Euphorbiaceae
Source: RNAcentral
UCUCCUCUCCAUUGAUUGCUUUGUUUAUUUGCUUACUUUUUAUUCAAGUUAUGUAUUAUGUUAUUAUUCUUUAUUUGUGUUCUAAUUUUGUGCCAGUAUAAUUUUUGACAAUCACACUAGUUGACGUUUAUUCUAAUUAGUUCAUCUACCCUUCAUUCAAGAUUUGAUAGAAUCCAUCCUGGUAUAGUUGUUAGUGGGAGAUCUCAAAAAUUCAUAUAUUUCAAUUCAAAUUAUCCUUUACUAAACGUCGGUGUAUUAUUCAAUUCAAAUUAUCUUUACUAUACAUCGGUGUAUAAUUUUUAUUACAUGUGAUCCAAAAAAAGCUUAUAUUUUGACCAUUGGAAGAUAUAGCUAUAUGGGUGAUGUUACCAACUUGAACAAG